Molecule: ribosomal RNA, 292 nt
Filed under: uncultured bacterium
Lineage: Bacteria
Description: partial 16S ribosomal RNA
Rfam family: Bacterial small subunit ribosomal RNA
Source: RNAcentral
GUGUCAGCCGCCGCGGUAAUACAGAGGGUGCAAGCGUUAAUCGGAAUGACUGGGCGUAAAGGGCGCGUAGGUGGCAGCUUAAGUUAGAUGUGAAAUCCCCGGGCUUAACCUGGGAACUGCAUUUAAUACUGGGCAGCUAGAGUAUGAGAGAGGGCAGUGGAAUUUCCGGUGUAGCGGUGAAAUGCGUAGAUAUCGGAAGGAACACCAGUGGCGAAGGCGACUGCCUGGCUUAAUACUGACACUGAGGCGCGAAAGCGUGGGGAGCAAACAGGAUUAGAAACCCUCGUAGUCC